ACUUAAUUGAAGGCUUUCAGUGAAGUGGUGGCUGAGGGUGAGUCUAGGGGGCAGCUGGCACCAGGCCUCCUGCCAUCACACUCUUGCUGGCCUCCGCCAGGGUCCCAGGUUUCUCUGAAGACAGCCCGUGGUGGCAGGAAACAGCCAGAAGCCAGAGGCAGUGCCUGAGGGCUUCUGAUGACAGUAGUUUAGCCAAGAACCAGACCCACAAAUGUGGGCAAGUUGGUCUGUUCUUGGGACUAGGGAAGCAGAGUGCACCAGUAUGCUAAGGAUAGUCCCCUGUAGGGGCAAAGUAAGCCCCAACCAAGAUUCAGGGAAACAAGUCUGGCAGGAAGGAAGCUUUAGUCACUGGAAUGCCAGAAGGCUUUCCUUCUAGUCCACAUCAGCAGAAGACACUUUGUAGGAGGUUCUGAGUGACCAGAAGGACAAUGAGCCUGGAGCCUGGACUCUGUGAGCCAUACAGGGUAGAGGAAGGAGAAGAUGAGGGUAUCCUGUGGAUGGGGAGGCAUAAAGAAGCUUCUGGGUCUAGGAAGAUGUGGAAGGUAAGAGGGGCAAAGUCCUGAACUGACAGUGCUUACAGGCCAGCAAGAAGCUGAAGCAAGUACACAGGUAACUCUAGGGCAGGACAGAGGUGAUCACUGCCUUCAGAGAAGUGCAAAGAGCUCCCUGACUCCAAAGGAGGCUUUGCUCCCAGAGAUCAGGACUUCUGAAACCCUAUCUGCCUAACUUGGAACCUCUUGUCCUCCGUGAACAUGAUCCUUGCCUGCUGAUCCUGGCCUGUCCUGUGCUUAGGAACUAAAGUGUAGAGCAGGCGCCUUCCCAAACCUAUACAUCUUUCUCAUUUUCAAGCCAGUCUGAUGGCCAAUCCCCUUGAUUCACCCUUGGAAACAAAUACUAGCCAAGGGAGUCUGUUGCUGGCAUUGACAAGGAUCCGAUGUAGGUCAGUAUUCUAAUUCCCACUCCACAGAGGAGAAAGAGCAGAGGAAUCAGACUGGAGUCCAGCUGUGGUCGAUGAAUCAUCCGGAACACAGCAAGCAGCUAUUUCUGAACUAAAUAGCAUCAGAUCUCUCUCCUCACCUUGAGUCCAGUGUCCUGGUCUCCAGAGCACUUCCUCUGGGAUGAAGCCAGCGAGGGGCAGAAAGCCUUGAGCAGAAUGGAGUUGACAAGCUUGGCUUUGUCACUGCUGUUCCCAUGCAGUGAUGAAGAGGAAGCAACUUUGAGAAGCCCUGGCCUUUCAGAAACCAGGGGCCAUUCUGUUCAUCGUGGAUGUUCAAGAGGGCAAGUAAUAACAAGCCAACUUGCCACUCCUGCCAGGCACCUAGGGGGAUGCCGGUGGAUGUCACCAGAACCUAUUGCUCUACUGUCACUCUCUGCCUCUACCACUCCACUGAUUACCCUUCUGGGGGUUGAGAAUCGCAUUGUACAAUAGAAAAUCAACUUUGAGACAGGAAACCAGGGAGCUGGAUCUUGCUGGACCAGGCAGUGGAGGCAGGAACAGAAAUCUCAAGCCUUGGUUUUCUUGUUGCCACAUUGCUGUAUGGACUCUGCAUCUCCUCCGCCCCCCUCCCCCCAAAUCGUUGUCCACUGAAGCCAGACAAAAUAAUGUGCUCCCCAACUCUUUCAAAAAAGUGGAACGCAAGUCACGGGAAGCUUUGCUUUUCUUCUGACUUCUUCCUGUAAACCAGUUCAGGACUUGGUGCAGGAAGAGUCAGCUCUCAAACCGAAGCCAGACCUUGCUUUUUAA
This is a long non-coding RNA of Canis lupus familiaris (dog), 1744 nucleotides long. RefSeq lists it as uncharacterized. The transcript is spliced from 4 exons. NCBI's taxonomy places the organism in Eukaryota, Metazoa, Chordata, Mammalia, Carnivora, Canidae. The record is from RefSeq and is a predicted model, not a curated record.